GGGAAAAAAAGGGCGUAGUAAGUCAUACGGAGAGGCUCGUACGUCAUACUUCAUCCGGGCCAACGGAGCAACACAUGGAAAGGGCUCUCCCCGCACGUAUACGAAGAACGCAUUCACUCGGGCUGCCUCUUUAGGUCGCGAUGCUCGAUAGUGUGGGUUCCUAUACGUUACGUAUGCCUGAAUAUUUCGUAUACCUCUAUACACAUGCAGGAGAGAGACCCCGAACCACUUGAUCACCGGGAAUCCUUACUACGGACGCACACGAAGAUCGGGGCUGAUCCUCGUUGAUACGGGAGCAGAGCGCUGUGUUACCGGCAAUCCUCGUAAACGGCCAUAGCGGCAAGCGUGGAGGUUUCACGAGAAGGAGGGAUAAACGAAUCGAGCCACGAUUUCGUUGUCGUAAACGUCAAAGUUACGGUUACAGCGUUGUUCCUAGCUGCUUUAUAUUGAACGAGGUUGCUCCCCGAGGUACGUAACACCUACUCGCAGACGUCGUAUUGCAGAAAGUAGCGCUACUACUACUUUUCAACUCUGGGAGCGAUGCAACGAGCGGGCAACCACGUGGCUUUUACGCGGGAAUCCGGUGAAGGAAUUCAAGAUAAUGUUUCUUGCGUAUCGGAAAUAAAGGAUGUAAAUUUCAGAAACGGAAGCUACAGAGCUAUCAUUAAUAAUCUGCACCGUAAAAGAGGUUCUCUCUCAAUGGGCUUGAAUGAAGAGAUGCCUAAAUAGCACCCCAGCCUCUCUAUCGUUGUGCCCUCUAAUUACCCUGUAGACGCAGUCAACCCCUCAAUGAGAAGUGAU
Cataglyphis hispanica is the source of this 801-nucleotide long non-coding RNA. RefSeq lists it as uncharacterized. The transcript is spliced from 4 exons. The record is from RefSeq and is a predicted model, not a curated record. Lineage: Eukaryota; Metazoa; Arthropoda; Insecta; Hymenoptera; Formicidae.